Molecule: ribosomal RNA, 468 nt
Filed under: uncultured bacterium
Lineage: Bacteria
Description: partial 16S ribosomal RNA
Rfam family: Bacterial small subunit ribosomal RNA
Source: RNAcentral
GACGAACGCUGGCGGCGUGCUUAACACAUGCAAGUCGAACGGAAAGGCCCUGCUUUUGUGGGGUGCUCGAGUGGCGAACGGGUGAGUAACACGUGAGUAACCUGCCCUUGACUUUGGGAUAACUUCAGGAAACUGGGGCUAAUACCGGAUAGGAGCUCCUGCUGCAUGGUGGGGGUUGGAAAGUUUCGGCGGUUGGGGAUGGACUCGCGGCUUAUCAGCUUGUUGGUGGGGUAGUGGCUUACCAAGGCUUUGACGGGUAGCCGGCCUGAGAGGGUGACCGGCCACAUUGGGCCUGCGAUACGGCCCAGACUCCUACGGGAGGCAGCAGUGGGGAAUAUUGCACAAUGGGCGGAAGCCUGAUGCAGCAACGCCGCGUGCGGGAUGACGGCCUUCGGGUUGUAACCCGCUUUCGCCUGUGACGAGGCGUGAGUGACGGUAAUGGGUAAAGAAGCACCGGCUAACUACGUG